AUGGACAUCGAUGUUGAGGUCGUAGUCGCCUCACGUCGACGUCGCCGUUUUAAAAACGAGGGUGCUCGCCAACCACCUGGAUCGUCUGCUCUGCUGGCGUGGUGGAUUCAUACCGCAAAUGGAGUGGUCGAUCGAGAUAAGAUCGUCAAAGUGGUGGGCGGGUUUGACCGACGGGAGGACGCUUUGACCGAGGUGGGAGGGGGGUUUUGGGCCCUAGGGAGGGUGGGGGAGGUGGGUUUGACCCAUGGGAGAGGGGGUGUAGAAUAGUUUUUCUAGG
Molecule: long non-coding RNA, 277 nt
Filed under: Oryza sativa Indica Group (long-grained rice)
Lineage: Eukaryota; Viridiplantae; Streptophyta; Magnoliopsida; Poales; Poaceae
Description: lncRNA OsMH63_10G014050
Source: RNAcentral